Molecule: ribosomal RNA, 228 nt
Filed under: uncultured eukaryote
Lineage: Eukaryota
Description: partial 18S ribosomal RNA
Rfam family: Eukaryotic small subunit ribosomal RNA
Source: RNAcentral
UGAAAUCUCACCAGGCCCGGACACUGGAAGGAUUGACAGAUUUAUAGCUCUUUCUUGAUUCGGUGCGUGAUGGUGCAUGGCCGUUCUUAGUUGGUUGAGUGAUUUGUCUGGUUAAUUCCGUUAACGAACGAGACCUUAACCUGCUAAAUAGUGACGCGGUUCAUCGAACCGUGGGCCACUUCUUAGAGGGACUAUCGGAUUCAAACCGAUGGAAGUGUGAGGCAAUAA